This 440-nucleotide ribosomal RNA is filed under the name Euhadra peliomphala. Its description in RNAcentral is "partial 16S ribosomal RNA". Lineage: Eukaryota; Metazoa; Mollusca; Gastropoda; Stylommatophora; Camaenidae. The record is from RNAcentral.
CGAAGUGGUUUGAGCUAGAUAUAAUUGUAAUAUGGGUAUUUUGUUAUGAUGUGGCAAAAUUAUAUCAAAAGUUAUAUGUAGGGGUGAAAGGCUUGUCAAAAACCAAGAUAUCUUGAUUUCAAUGAAAGGUAUUUAGUACAAUAUUAUACAUUUAUUAAGUGGUGAGGCUUAGUAAAGAUAUAAAGAUAUUUUAAUAUGGUAUAUUAAUUUAUAAUAAAAAAAUAUAUUAUUAUAAUAUUAUUCCACUUUUAUUGCUUAUAGAGAUUAAUUGGAUAUAGUUUAACUUAUAUAUUUAAUAAAUAAUGUUAGUAUUAGUAUAUUCUACUGGUUCUAUGUAAGGAACUCGGCAAAAUCGUUUCUCAACUGUUUAUCAAAAACAUAACUGUGUGUGCCUAUACAUAGCGUUUUCUGCUCAAUGAUUUUAUUAAAUAGCCGCAGUA